AGGGGUGUAGUUUAAUUGGUAGAAUGUUGGUCUCCAAAACCAAUGGUUGGGGGUUCAAAUCCCUCCACCCCUG
RNAcentral lists this transfer RNA (73 nucleotides) under Enterobacteriaceae endosymbiont of Donacia piscatrix. RNAcentral describes it as "tRNA-Trp". It matches the Rfam family "tRNA". From Rfam's summary of the family: Transfer RNA (tRNA) molecules are approximately 80 nucleotides in length. Lineage: Bacteria; Pseudomonadati; Pseudomonadota; Gammaproteobacteria; Enterobacterales; Enterobacteriaceae. The record is from RNAcentral. RNAcentral also lists the same sequence under 1 other name.